RNAcentral lists this ribosomal RNA (464 nucleotides) under Vreelandella stevensii. RNAcentral's name for it is "partial 16S ribosomal RNA". It matches the Rfam family "Bacterial small subunit ribosomal RNA", at positions 339 to 795 of the family's 1533-position model. The record is from RNAcentral. Lineage: Bacteria; Pseudomonadati; Pseudomonadota; Gammaproteobacteria; Oceanospirillales; Halomonadaceae.
CUACGGUGGGCUGCAGUGGGGAAUAUUGGACAAUGGGCGAAAGCCUGAUCCAGCCAUGCCGCGUGUGUGAAGAAGGCCUUCGGGUUGUAAAGCACUUUCAGUGGGGAAGAAAGCCUUGGGGCUAAUACCCUCGAGGAAGGACAUCACCCACAGAAGAAGCACCGGCUAACUCCGUGCCAGCAGCCGCGGUAAUACGGAGGGUGCGAGCGUUAAUCGGAAUUACUGGUCGUAAAGCGCGCGUAGGCGGUCUGAUAAGCCGGUUGUGAAAGCCCCGGGCUCAACCUGGGAACGGCAUCCGGAACUGUCAGGCUAGAGUGCAGGAGAGGAAGGUAGAAUUCCCGGUGUAGCGGUGAAAUGCGUAGAGAUCGGGAGGAAUACCAGUGGCGAAGGCGGCCUUCUGGACUGACACUGACGCUGAGGUGCGAAAGCGUGGGUAGCAAACAGGAUUAGAUACCCGGGUAGUC